GGGGUGCGCACGCCAAGCCUGGGGCGGGGUGUUGUCUGCGCAGGCGCCGUGUGCGCAGGUGCCUGGCGUCCGCGUCGGCGCCGCAGGGUCUGGGUGCGGAGCGAUCUGGUGUGGCAGAUGUGGACAGCUGGACCCUCCUGGGUGCCUCUGCAUGAUGUCGUUUGGUUGAUGCGUUUGGAGAGAAUCUGUGCUCUCCAGACCUGCAGGGGCAACCUGCUUUCCUGGCCUCUUAAGAUGAGGGUGGCUGUUCUUGGGUGCUGCACCAAAACUCCAGCAGUGGGCUUUCUUCAAGUGGCAGGCUCACCUCAUUCCUGCCAAGACCCAGGUCCGUGUUCUCACAGUGCUGCCAUCUUUCCUCCGUGUGAGCGUGUGCUGUGCAGAGAGUGGACCUCUGCGUGUGCGGGGCUGCGUGCACUGCCAUCGGCUCCCUCCACACGAGCCGCCGUGGACCCAGGGCUGAGCUGUGACCACGAGGGCCAUCCCGACGAGCCACCGUGGACCCAGGGCUGAAAUGUAGAAGCGUCGGUGGAGCGAGGUCUUCGGACAGCUCUUAUUUCGGAGAAUGACAUUGUCUUCACGACUUCACCUUCCCCAUCCCUUCUAUAAACUGACAGGACGGGGUUGAUGGGGAGAGUCUAGGCAAAAGGAAGCUGACCCCAGUGACCAGCCCUAGUGGCCGCCCAGAGUCAAUGCUCUGGAACAGGACCGGGACCGGUGACCUGGAGACAGUGGCCGUUUCUGGAUGGGCUGCAGUCUCUGAAGGCUUCCUCCACUGGAUAGCCCCUUAGGAGUUUGCCCAGUGCCUCCAGAAAGCUCUUUUUUGGGGGACAGCGGACUCGGCCUGGAAUUCUGGAAUUCCCAGGGGGUCGGACAUGGUUAUGAGAAGUUUAAUAAAACCGGCGAAUCACAUGAA
RNAcentral lists this non-coding RNA (913 nucleotides) under Pongo abelii (Sumatran orangutan). Lineage: Eukaryota; Metazoa; Chordata; Mammalia; Primates; Hominidae. The record is from RNAcentral.